ACAGCAGUAGCCGCGGUAAUACGUAGGGUGCAAGCGUUAAUCGGAAUUACUGGGCGUAAAGCGUGCGCAGGCGGUUAUAUAAGUCAGAUGUGAAAUCCCCGGGCUCAACCUGGGAACUGCAUUUGAGACUGUAUGGCUAGAGUGUGUCAGAGGGGGGUAGAAUUCCACGUGUAGCAGUGAAAUGCGUAGAUAUGUGGAGGAAUACCGAUGGCGAAGGCAGCCCCCUGGGAUAACACUGACGCUCAUGCACGAAGGCGUGGGGGGCAAACAGGAUUAGAUACCCGGGUAGUCCCUGUCUCUUAUAC
This 305-nucleotide ribosomal RNA is filed under the name uncultured bacterium. Its description in RNAcentral is "partial 16S ribosomal RNA". It matches the Rfam family "Bacterial small subunit ribosomal RNA", at positions 506 to 807 of the family's 1533-position model. The record is from RNAcentral.